UUGCUUGCUUUGGCAGCACAUAUAUGAAAAUUGGAAUGAUAUAGAGAAGAUUAGCAUAGUCCCUGUGCAAGGAUGACACGCAAAUUUGUGAGCAUACCAUAUUUUU
This is a small nuclear RNA of Otolemur garnettii (small-eared galago), 106 nucleotides long. Lineage: Eukaryota; Metazoa; Chordata; Mammalia; Primates; Galagidae. The record is from Ensembl.